Molecule: ribosomal RNA, 688 nt
Filed under: Phellinus laevigatus
Lineage: Eukaryota; Fungi; Basidiomycota; Agaricomycetes; Hymenochaetales; Hymenochaetaceae
Description: eukaryotic LSU rRNA
Rfam family: 5.8S ribosomal RNA (bases 281-434)
Source: RNAcentral
GAGGAAGUAAAAGUCGUAACAAGGUUUCCGUAGGUGAACCUGCGGAAGGAUCAUUAAUGAAUUUGAAAGGCGGAGGCUUGAUGCUGGCGCGGAAACGCGGAUGUGCACGGCCUUCGUCCUCAAUCCAUUCAACCCCUGUGCACCUUAUGGGAGUUACUAGUCGGCAGURAUGUUAGUAGUCGAAAGACAAAAGCUUACGCAUUGUYGGYGAACACUUCAACUAUUAUCAACCUUUGUUGUCRUGUAGAAUGUAAUGCUCCKCGUGGGCGAAAUGAAAUACAACUUUCAACAACGGAUCUCUUGGCUCUCGCAUCGAUGAAGAACGCAGCGAAAUGCGAUAAGUAAUGUGAAUUGCAGAAUUCAGUGAAUCAUCGAAUCUUUGAACGCACCUUGCGCUCCUUGGUAUUCCGAGGAGCAUGCCUGUUUGAGUGUCAUGUUAAUCUCAACUCCCUUGUUUCUUAACUCGGGUGUUGGACUUGGAGGUUGCYGGCCCCAUUUGUGGUCGGCUCUUCUUAAAUGCAUUAGCUGGGCUUUGGCUCGCGUUGAACGGUGUAAUAGUAAUCUUACAUUCACCUGAGCGCUUGCCUAACRAGUCUGCUUCUAAUCGUCUUCGGACAAGGCGUUGUCGCCUUCACUUGACAUCUUGACCUCAAAUCAGGUAGGAUUACCCGCUGAACUUAAGCAUAUC